This 460-nucleotide ribosomal RNA is filed under the name uncultured bacterium. RNAcentral's name for it is "partial 16S ribosomal RNA". It matches the Rfam family "Bacterial small subunit ribosomal RNA", at positions 338 to 795 of the family's 1533-position model. The record is from RNAcentral.
CCUACGGGGAGCAGCAGUGAGGAAUAUUGGUCAAUGGACGAGAGUCUGAACCAGCCAAGUAGCGUGAAGGAUGACUGCCCUAUGGGUUGUAAACUUCUUUUAUAAAGGAAUAAAACGAGGCACGUGUGCCUUUUUGCAUGUACUUUAUGAAUAAGGAUCGGCUAACUCCGUGCCAGCAGCCGCGGUAAUACGGAGGAUCCGAGCGUUAUCCGGAUUUAUUGGGUUUAAAGGGAGCGUAGAUGGGUUGUUAAGUCAGUUGUGAAAGUUUGCGGCUCAACCGUAAAAUUGCAAUUGAUACUGGCAGUCGUGAGUACAGUUGAGGUAGGCGGAAUUCGUGGUGUAGCGGUGAAAUGCUUAGAUAUCACGAAGAACCCCGAUUGCGAAGGCAGCUUACUAAACUGUGACUGACAUUGAUGCUCGAAAGUGUGGGUAUCAAACAGGAUUAGAUACCCCGGUAGUC